RNAcentral lists this ribosomal RNA (496 nucleotides) under uncultured bacterium. RNAcentral describes it as "partial 16S ribosomal RNA". It matches the Rfam family "Bacterial small subunit ribosomal RNA", at positions 28 to 507 of the family's 1533-position model. The record is from RNAcentral.
GAUGAACGCUGGCGGCGUGCCUAAUACAUGCAAGUCGAGCGAACAGACGAGGAGCUUGCUCCUCUGACGUUAGCGGCGGACGGGUGAGUAACACGUGGAUAACCUACCUAUAAGACUGGGAUAACUUCGGGAAACCGGAGCUAAUACCGGAUAUAUAUUGAACCGCAUGGUUCAAUAGUGAAAGACGGUUUUGCUGUCACUUAUAGGUGGAUCCGCGCCGCAUUAGCUAGUUGGUAAGGUAACGGCUUACCAAGGCAACGAUGCGUAGCCGACCUGAGAGGGGGAUCGGCCACACUGGAACUGAGACACGGUCCAGACGCCUACGGGAGGCAGCAGUAGGGAAUCUUCCGCAAUGGGCGAAAGCCUGACGGAGCAACGCCGCGUGAGUGAUGAAGGUCUUCGGAUCGUAAAACCCUGUUAUUAGGGAAGAACAAAUGUGUAAGUAACUAUGCACGUCUUGACGGUACCUAAUCAGAAAGCCACGGCUAACUACGUG